UCUGAUACAGCAGGAAAAACAUCUAACAACAAUUGGCUUAAUACCUAAUCUCAUCAUCAUAACAAAACACCUCACUGCUUCCGAAAACCUCUUCCUUUUCACAUACCAUCAAAAAUUAGUAAUCCACGCAACAACAUUUCUUUUAUGCAUAGUUCUAAACACCCUUUAAACUAAACCACAAUCAGAACCAUUAUCCAAUGUAAG
RNAcentral lists this unclassified non-coding RNA (204 nucleotides) under Hevea brasiliensis (rubber tree). The record is from RNAcentral. Lineage: Eukaryota; Viridiplantae; Streptophyta; Magnoliopsida; Malpighiales; Euphorbiaceae.